Molecule: long non-coding RNA, 2290 nt
Filed under: Equus caballus (horse)
Lineage: Eukaryota; Metazoa; Chordata; Mammalia; Perissodactyla; Equidae
Description: lncRNA (ENSECAG00000058219.1)
Source: RNAcentral
GCUCCCGAUAAGAGGCGGCAGCUGCUGUAACUACUGUGAUGUGAUUCCGGGUGGCGUGGGACAUUCCAGGUUCAGCGUGGUGGGCAGCACUGUCUGCAGCCUGCUGCUCAUUCAGAAUCCACCCUGGGCAGGGGCUGGGUCAGAGGGGUUCCUAUCAGGAGAGAGAGCUGGCCUUCGCCUUGCGCCCCCGGGAGAGCGCCGAGGGGCCCAGGAGCACAGGGCCCGGCCGGCGCCCGCAAGGAAACCGCGGCGAGCAGUGUGAAGAUGUCUUGCUGUCACUUGGUGAAGGACGGCCAGGCCUCGUGGCCUGAGUGACGGGGCCGCAGUGGGGUGGAGGCAGCCUGGGAAAGUGCAGGUUGAACUGCUGGCAGUCGGGUGCCCUGCUGGGGCCUGGGGCAGUCCAGCAGCUCUGUCCCCUGGACACACACACGCACACCCUCCCCCACAGGAGCCCCCCUCCAACUGGCGCUUGGGAACCCAGGAGCAUUUCCCUUGGGAGCGGAUCUUCUGGAAGGGUGGGAGCCUCCCAGAGGAUGCCAUGCCUUCCGAAUAGUCUGUCCCUCCCCACUGUGAGACUUUGUCAGGAGUCUGCUGUCCUUGCAGCGUGCAGGACUCGGCUCACCCACUUUACUGCACACCAGGUCCAUCAGUCAGUCAGUCAAUCAUCCUGAAGGCAUUUAAUGAACAACUACUAUGUCCCAGGCUCCAUGCUGAGUCCUAGGGACCCAGCAAAGAAUAAGACACAGGAUGCUCUCGUCCCUACAGAGGGGACAGUCCCAGGAGCUGGAAGGGUUCCCUUGAGCCAUCCCCACCCCCUCUCCUCGUUACUCUGGGGGCCAGGCCAGGCCAAGGUGACGCGUCCUGUCCACGUUAAGGUCAUGAGGAGUGACCAGGGAGCCUGAAGUCCCGAUCCCCAUCGAUUUGUGUGUGACCUUGCAUAAGUCACUUCCCCUCCGUAAACCUGGAUUCCCUCCUCUUUAAAGAGACGGAUGUGGGGUCCACACGACCCCAAGGCCUGUCCUUCCUGGGGAGUGAGUCUGGGAAUCGCCUCCCACUCAUGAGGCUCGCUCAGUAGGUCUUUGCUGAGGCCGCCCUGACCACAGACCACGCCGGGGACCCACGACGACCAGGCCUGGCCCCCUUCUCCAGGAAGACCCUGAUUUACAUGUCUGACAUAUAGACAAUAAGGCAGAUGGUUGGAGACAUCAGCAAACUGAAGCCGACAGCUUUUCUCCUGCUCCCAGACGCUCCCUCCUGUGCCGUAGUUUGAGAUCACCACCCUGGUGUCAGCCGAGAGCCCUUAUCUCCCGGGAGAAGUUGUCAGAUCGGUGUAGCCGGCCUCACGGUCACGCUGCCUCGAUUUCAUUCCCAGGAGACAAGAUAAUCAUCGUUAAUUGCGCGGCGAACAGCGGGGACGAUGGCAAAGGAAGGCGGCUCCUCUCCCCUCAGGUUCUUGCGUGCUGGUGGGAGAAGAGCUGCCAGAGGCUGGACCACAGACUUUGAAAACCGGGUUCAAAUCCUGCUUGACCUCGGGCAGGUUUCUUAACCUCUCUGUGCCUCAGUUUACUUAUCUGUAAAUAGCGGACAAUUAGAACAAUCCCUACUUAUCUCAGAGGGGGGUUAAACGGACUACCGUUUGUAAGCAUCUGGACCCAUCAAGACCCCAUGAACGUUCCUUGAAUAAGCGCUAAGUAGGUGCACCCCGCUCAGCCUCCCAGGCACGGCGGAGAAGUCCUAAGAAAAGAGAUUCGGGGUCCCCAAAGCCAUCAGUCACGCGGCCUCAUGUUCUGUGCUCACCAGGGGAGCUGAAAACAAGUCGUUUGUACUUACGGAAACCUCACUCUGAGUCAGACACCGUCCCAGGGGCUCCUGAGUACCUUAACCAAGUUAAUCCUCGCACAAAUCCUGGGGGACGCACAGGGAAUGUCCUCACCACUCCCAUCUUACAGAUGGAGAAACUGAGGCUCAGAGCAGCGCCUGACGGGUGGGCAUCAGCCUCCAGUGCUUCAGCUGGUGGAAAGCAGGGUGCAGGGGUCCCCAGUCUCAGCCCCGCUCACUCUCACCAGCUGUGUGGUUUGGGGCAAAGGACUAACCUCUCUGUUUUCUCAGCUGUGAAGUGGGGGAAACAGCACCUACCCGCAGGGCCGUGGUGGAGCGUAAAUGAGACGACGUGGGCCACACGCCUGCAUGGCUGUUAACGUGUGACGGGGCUCAGGAGAUGGGAAAAGUUAUAACUUAAAAAGGGGAAGAGGGGGCUGAGCAGAGGUCCUAAGCCCAGGGCAGCCCCAGG